AAUCAACGCUGGCGGCGUGCCUAACACAUGCAAGUCGAACGCGAGAGGGGCUUCGGCCCCGAUUGAGUGGCGAACGGGUGAGUAACGCGUGGGUGACCUACCUUCGAGUGGGGGAUAACGUCCCGAAAGGGACGCUAAUACCGCAUAACAUCCUGCUUUUGAAUGGGUGGAGAUCAAAGCCGGGGAUCGCAAGACCUGGCGCUUGAUGAGGGGCCCGCGUCUGAUUAGCUAGNGGUGAGGUAACGGCCCACCAAGGCAACGAUCAGUAUCCGGCCUGAGAGGGCGGACGGACACACUGGGACUGAGACACGGCCCAGACUCCUACGGGAGGCAGCAGUGGGGAAUUGUUCGCAAUGGGCGCAAGCCUGACGACGCAACGCCGCGUGGAGGAUGAAGGUCUUCGGAUUGUAAACUCCUGUUGCCCGGGACGAAUGGCUCCGACCUAACACGUCGGAGUGUGACGGUACCGGGUGAGGAACGCCCGGCUAACUCUGUGCCAGCCGCCG
This 506-nucleotide ribosomal RNA is filed under the name uncultured bacterium. RNAcentral describes it as "bacterial SSU rRNA". It matches the Rfam family "Bacterial small subunit ribosomal RNA", at positions 28 to 517 of the family's 1533-position model. The record is from RNAcentral.